GAUGAACGCUAGCUACAGGCUUAACACAUGCAAGUCGAGGGGUAACGAGAGGAAAGCUUGCUUUCCUUGUCGACGACCGGCGCACGGGUGAGUAACGCGUAUCCAACCUGCCCCCAACUAGGGAAUAACCUUGCGAAAGUAAGACUAAUACCCUAUAAUUUCCUCAGAUGUCAUCUGACGAGGAAUCAAGAUUUAUCGGUUGUGGAUGGGGAUGCGUCUGAUUAGCUUGUUGGCGGGGUAACGGCCCACCAAGGCAACGAUCAGUAGGGGUUCUAAGAGGAAUGUCCCCCACAUUGGAACUGGGACACGGUCCAAACUCCUACGGGAGGCAGCAGUGAGGAAUAUUGGUCAAUGGGCGGAAGCCUGAACCAGCCAAGUAGCGUGCAGGAUGACGGCCCUAUGGGUUGUAAACCUCUUUUAUAAGGGAAUAAAACGCUCCACGUGUGGAGCUUUGCAUGUACCUUUUGAAUAAGGAUCGGCUAACUCCGUGCCAGCAGCCGCGGUAA
Molecule: ribosomal RNA, 506 nt
Filed under: uncultured bacterium
Lineage: Bacteria
Description: partial 16S ribosomal RNA
Rfam family: Bacterial small subunit ribosomal RNA
Source: RNAcentral